Molecule: long non-coding RNA, 1038 nt
Organism: Cyprinus carpio (common carp)
Lineage: Eukaryota; Metazoa; Chordata; Actinopteri; Cypriniformes; Cyprinidae
Source: Ensembl
GAGGAAAAAGACAUUAUACACUUAGAGUUCUUUAUCUAUUAUUUAAUGAUAAACAUAUAACAAAACCAAAAUAAAAAGUUUUUUUUUCCAUGGGCUUUGUUGGUUUUCUGAUGCUUUGUUUUUCAAGAAAAAAUACAAUAACCAAAAUAAUUAUUUCGACAACACAACUAGAACUUUAAUAUUAAUAUGGAUGCAAAAUAGUUAACAUUUUAAUAUGCCAUCAUUACUGGAACACACGAUUCUUUGAUCUUGCUGCAGUGCAUUCUGGGAUUGCUUUCUCUCAGAAGGACACACGUGACGCUGUCUUACAGUGUGGUCAAAACAUAGUAUCCUUUACACCUAUGAUGCCUUAAAAUAUAAGACAAGGUUUCUCUUGCAAAAACAUGAAGAAACACUCUCAAAACAACACCACAACACUUUCAGUUCAGCACUGACCUAGAAAAGUGAAUGGCUUUAUUGUGAGGAGAGCAGAAACAUGCUAAUGAGGGUAAAUCGCACUGGUUUAAUCAGGCCGCGUGUGAGAACGAGUCACAUCCAGUCAAAACCUGCCAGAACAGAAAUAAUCAUCAGACUCACGUGCAGAAGAGUGUCGAUAAAUCACUCGCUUUAUUCAGCAGAAAGUUCAACAACAGAACACAAGCCAUGUCUUUAACUGGGUCGUUUUCCAGCAGUCAGCUGUCAAUAAACAUCCAGGAAUUCCCAGACAUCGGAUACGCACCGCUCCCUUCAGAAAGGGCUUUUGUCCAAUUCAAAGCAGCAGAUUUCCUUACAGUAACUGAUGCCUUAAAGCAGGAUAACCAAUAGUCAUCAUGCGCUUUCUGUGUGCAUUUCAUGACACAAAAGUGGAUGCUUGGCAUUCUGUAUUUGGCCUCAUUUGAGGUCACACUUGGGAAAGAAAUUGGGAGAAAAGCUUUCGGAAAAGCGUUUGGCAUCACUGACAUCCAGCCUGGUGCAAAGCAACUAGAAGCAAAGGAAGAAAAUUGUAAAGUGAGGAAAAAAGGAAGAAAGAAAAUAACCAAAGAAAACUGCCUCAAAUGA